RNAcentral lists this ribosomal RNA (606 nucleotides) under Enterobacter hormaechei. RNAcentral's name for it is "partial 23S ribosomal RNA". The record is from RNAcentral. Lineage: Bacteria; Pseudomonadati; Pseudomonadota; Gammaproteobacteria; Enterobacterales; Enterobacteriaceae.
CGGCGGCCGUAACUAUAACGGUCCUAAGGUAGCGAAAUUCCUUGUCGGGUAAGUUCCGACCUGCACGAAUGGCGUAAUGAUGGCCAGGCUGUCUCCACCCGAGACUCAGUGAAAUUGAACUCGCUGUGAAGAUGCAGUGUACCCGCGGCAAGACGGAAAGACCCCGUGAACCUUUACUAUAGCUUGACACUGAACACUGGUCCUUGAUGUGUAGGAUAGGUGGGAGGCUUUGAAGCGUGGACGCCAGUCUGCGUGGAGCCRMCCUUGAAAUACCACCCUUUAAUGGCUGGUGUUCUAACGUAGACCCGUUACCCGGGUUGCGGACAGUGUCUGGUGGGUAGUUUGACUGGGGCGGUCUCCUCCCAAAGAGUAACGGAGGAGCACGAAGGUUGGCUAAUCCUGGUCGGACAUCAGGAGGUUAGUGCAAUGGCAUAAGCCAGCUUGACUGCGAGCGUGACGGCGCGAGCAGGUGCGAAAGCAGGUCAUAGUGAUCCGGUGGUUCUGAAUGGAAGGGCCAUCGCUCAACGGAUAAAAGGUACUCCGGGGAUAACAGGCUGAUACCGCCCAAGAGUUCAUAUCGACGGCGGUGUUUGGCACCUCGAUGUC